AACGAACGCUGGCGGCAUGCCUAACACAUGCAAGUCGAACGAGACCUUCGGGUCUAGUGGCGCACGGGUGCGUAACGCGUGGGAAUCUGCCCUUAGGUACGGAAUAACUCAGGGAAACUUGAGCUAAUACCGUAUGAUGUCUUCGGACCAAAGAUUUAUCGCCUAGGGAUGAGCCCGCGUAGGAUUAGCUAGUUGGUGAGGUAAAGGCUCACCAAGGCGACGAUCCUUAGCUGGUCUGAGAGGAUGAUCAGCCACACUGGGACUGAGACACGGCCCAGACUCCUACGGGAGGCAGCAGUGGGGAAUAUUGGACAAUGGGCGAAAGCCUGAUCCAGCAAUGCCGCGUGAGUGAUGAAGGCCUUAGGGUUGUAAAGCUCUUUUACCCGGGAAGAUAAUGACUGUACCGGGAGAAUAAGCCCCGGCUAACUCCGUGCCAGCAGCCGCGGUAAAAC
Molecule: ribosomal RNA, 452 nt
Filed under: uncultured bacterium
Lineage: Bacteria
Description: bacterial SSU rRNA
Rfam family: Bacterial small subunit ribosomal RNA
Source: RNAcentral